Molecule: ribosomal RNA, 482 nt
Filed under: uncultured bacterium
Lineage: Bacteria
Description: partial 16S ribosomal RNA
Rfam family: Bacterial small subunit ribosomal RNA
Source: RNAcentral
AUUGAACGCUGGCGGCAUGCUUUACACAUGCAAGUCGAACGGUAACAGGCCGCAAGGUGCUGACGAGUGGCGAACGGGUGAGUAAUGCAUCGGAACGUGCCCAGUCGUGGGGGAUAACUACUCGAAAGAGUAGCUAAUACCGCAUACGAUCUAUGGAUGAAAGCGGGGGACCGUAAGGCCUCGCGCGAUUGGAGCGGCCGAUGUCAGAUUAGGUAGUUGGUGGGGUAAAGGCUCACCAAGCCAACGAUCUGUAGCUGGUCUGAGAGGACGACCAGCCACACGGGGAAGGAGCACAGGCCAAGACGCAAAGGGGAGGCAGAAGGGGGGAAUUUGGAAAAAGGGGCGAAAGCCAGAACAAGAAAUGCGGGGGGAAGGAGGAAGGCUUGGGGGUUGUAAACGGUUUUUGAAGGAAAGGAAACGGUUGGGAUAAAAACCGGGGGUAAAUGACGUUACAAAAAAAAAAAGAACCGGGAAACUACGGG